GUAAAGCCCCUGGACUGACGACUCUGUCAGUCAAUGAAACUGAAAUUGCCAGGGUCGGGGUAUUUUCCCUUUUCUUGAAUUUCAAUACAAUUUUUCUCUUUUGAAGAACAACAGACUCUGCUGUCUCAGAAACCGCAUACCUUUCAUGAGUUUCCAUUAUUAUUUUUCCCAAACAACGUACUGAUAUUGACUGAGUGACAUUGAAUCACAAUGCUAUACACCCAACUGGCGCCAAAACCAAAUUUGUCAAAUAAGCUUUUUUGCUUUUUAUUAUUUACGGGAGAAAUGGUAUUGCCAAACAAGGCUGAGUCAUUCAUCAAAAUGCCGUCUUUCCGAAAUUCUCAAUGCCUGGAGCGUAAAACACCAAGGCUGCAAAGUAAACAGGAACUUCGAUAAUUCCUAGAAUAUUGCUGCUUUCAAUAUUCAUUCACCCUUGGUGAAAGGGGCAACUGUUCCAGGCAUAAAGCUAACCCCCUCUAAACUUUCAGUUUCUUACUUGAGCAGGCACUCUAGGAUCUAUGGUCGUUCGCAUGUGAGGUCGAUUUGUAGGGAAUUACCCAGUCUUCUAGCCAUGCAUUUCUCCCGCAAGGUAUUAGAAAACAGCGUGGUCAUUGCAAACAAGAUAUCACUUUGGUUUUAAUUUCAACACGAAGUAGGUAGGCCGCUUAUAUCAGUUCUAUCUCUUAUGCACGGAAGAACAAAGUAUUGUUGACUCAAUUUGCUUUGAGCUGUACGUAGGUCGUAUGGAAAUAUAAAUCUUAAAAUCACAAAAACAACGAAAGAUAUUCGGUUACAUGUAAUAAAUCCGUACAGCAAGGUCUUUUUCAGACUAGUUCAAGUUGAGAAAUAGACCGGGGUUUUUGCCCUUGACAUCCCCGGGUCGUAUGCAUACGGUAAGAGGAGGAAUUAUUCUGAGAAACAGGAAAACCCCCUCUCCAACUUCCUGUUUAUCAAACUGCCACGGAUGCCUAUGGCGAAAGACAAACUAUUCUUGGAAUGAAAGAAAUGCGAUAAAAACGUCCUUACUCUAGCAAUCUUAACUGAGUGAUAUUGGUCGUUCCAUUUAGGGUUUUGACAAAGAACAUUCAACAAGCUUGAUUGUAACACAAGAUAGCUGUCACAACUGGAUGCUGUAUCAGUGCUCCACUGAGAUCGGAUCUGUGAACUGUUGUCUUCAAGGCCAGCAUUGUCGAGUGCACCAACGUUAUCUGGCAAUUCUCAGUCCAUUUCUAUUGCAAGUUUAGAGUGAUAAAGAAGCGCACUGGACAAAUUUGGAUUUAACACGAGAAUCAACAAGAAGCAACUGCUGUUGAUCUUAAGCUGAAAGAAAGAUGUCAGUCGCAGUUCACGGUGAGUAACGUGGUAAAGCAAGGGCGCCUUGCAUAGUUAAUGACAUGUUAUCACACAUAUUUGAUUUUUCUACAUUUCUUUUUCAGUUGUGACCGGGGUUUCGUUGUCAAUUUUUCUUCAGUGUUGCGAUAUAUGUGUGGUGUAUUUCUGUCAAUGAAUUUGCGACCAAUGAACUGAGAGAGAUUUUCUCAGUUUCUUCAGUUUGAUUUACAAGGAACUGUUCCAUUUAAUUUGUGUUAGUCGUAUUACGGUACUCCACAGUAAGUUAUAUCUCAAGUAAAAGGGUGCUCUCCAUUGAACCAAAAGUUCUGGAGCGUUCAAAACGGGGCACUGACUGAAUUAAUCCUUUGGGCUCCUGAUGGAGCAAAGGGCGUCAACAAUGCUCUGCUAGAGGACUCUGUUUGGUGCCAUCUCUCAGCUGUGUUCCAGGUGAUGUUAGCCAUUUUCAUCUCUUCUUCAGUCGACCUUCUCUAGGUCUAAGCAGGUCUUCCCUCCUUUUUUCCCUGCGGAGUCCAUUUCAAAGCCCGCUUAGUCGUGUCAGUGGCUCGUUUUUGCAGCGUGUGGGUUACGGCAAGACCAUUUCCGUCUUGCUAUCUCAGUUGGUACGUGCUUUUGUCCUGUCCUGCUCCAAACAUCAACAACAACAACAAUGCUGUAUUUACUCUAGACACUUAAUACACAUUUUCAAAGAAAAAUACAAUAACUUACAAUAACUUAGGGAAAAGAUAUGUGCCAGGGGAAUAAAUGAACCUUGCAGUUUCCGAGUUAUUCCCCUGCCUUUUCCGUGCAAAACAAAAUAAGACCAAGGGAAUGAAAGAUACAAGUAAAAGUUCCAAAGUUCUUUGCUAGUAUUUUUUUCCUGCCACUGUAUCUCGAGGAUCUUUCUGGGACAUUUGUUAGCAAAGCUUUGCCGCUUGUUCAAUAGAGCUUGUGUCACUUUCCAGGUCUCUGAUCCAUACAGGAGCGUAGCUUUAACAUUUGCAGUGAAGAUGCGCAAUUUGGUUUUAGUAGAAGUCGGUGAGGCAUUCCAGACUGGUGUAAGCUUGUUUAAGACCACUCUGGCUUUGCCUAAUCUGCUCUUCACAUCCUCCUCGGCUCCGAUAAGGUCCUGGAUCAACUUAAUUAACUUUGAUGGAAUUCCAUAGUGGUGCAUAAACUUCCAGAUGACGUUCCUAUCAUCCCUGUCAAAGGCGUUUUCGAAAUCAAUAAAGUUCAUGCGUAAUGCUGUCUACCAUUCAUUGGACUGUUUGACGAUUAUGCUUAAGGUAGCAAUAUGGUCAGUGCAGGAUUAGUCUUUCCUAAAGCCUGCUUGGUUACAUCGUAGUUGUUUGUCAAGGGCAUCCAACAGUCUUUUCGAGAAUAAUGCGGCAGAAUACCCUGCUGGGGAUCGAGAGAAGCAUAAUUUCGCGCCAAGUCUUAGGUCCGCCUUUUUGGGGAGCUUCACCAAAUAACCUUGCUUCCACUUUGUUGGAAUUUUCUCUGCUUGCCGGAUUUUAACAAAAAGUGGAUGUAACAUAUCUGCAGUGGUGGUAGGAUCGAUUUUGAGUGCCUCAGGCGGAAUGCCAUCUGGUCCUGGCGCCUUUCCACUCUUCGGCUGUUUCACGGCUGUAACAAUCUCUGCCUUAGAUUGUGGGUGGGUGCCGACAUUUAUCAGGGGCCUUCUGUGUCAUUGAUGUUUGGCAUAACAGAGGAGAUGGUCUGUUUAGGAUCUCACGGAAAUGCUCUGCCCAUCUCGCUCUUUCUACUCCGGUACCAGCCUUCCUUGUUCUUGACUGGUUUUGUCUGUUUGCUUCUCUUUCCUGACAUCGUUCUGGUCGUUUCAUGUAACCUUUUCAUGUUGCGCUGCCCUGCUGCCGUUUCAGCUUCAGUGGCGAGAGCAUUUAUGAACUCCUUCUUGUCCUUCCUGGCACUCUUCCUUACAUCACUGUUUAAUUGCCAGAGCUUCGAUAAUAAGUCUCUCUUCCUGGCCUGCUCAUUGCACUCAUUGAUCUCCACUUUAAGACUUUUCCUCUACUAUAUCAAACACUAGGUUUCUUUGGACAGCCAUUCUUUCCGAUUGCCGACACUUUUGCCUAAGAGACUUCAUCGCCUGUCUCUUGCCACGUCUUUUUCAGUCCUGCCCAAUGACUGUUUAGGUCUUCAUCCACAAAUUCAACGGCGGAGAACUUGUUCUUAACUUUGUAGUUAAACAACUUCGCUCCUUCAUUGCACUUCAGG
Long non-coding RNA from Orbicella faveolata, 3567 nucleotides. The record is from RefSeq and is a predicted model, not a curated record. Lineage: Eukaryota; Metazoa; Cnidaria; Anthozoa; Scleractinia; Merulinidae.